AGUGAACGCUGGCGGUAGGCCUAACACAUGCAAGUCGAACGGCAGCACAGUAAGAGCUUGCUCUUACGGGUGGCGAGUGGCGGACGGGUGAGGAAUACAUCGGAAUCUACUUUUUCGUGGGGGAUAACGUAGGGAAACUUCCGCUAAUACCGAAUACGACCUACGGGUGAAAGCAGGGGUUCUUCGGACCUUGCGCGAUUGAUUGAGCCGAUGUCGGAUUAGCUAGUUGGCGGGGUAAAGGCCCACCAAGGCGACGAUCCGUAGCUGGUCUGAGAGGAUGAUCAGCCACACUGGAACUGAGACACGGUCCAGACUCCUACGGGAGGCAGCAGUGGGGAAUAUUGGACAAUGGGCGCAAGCCUGAUCCAGCCAUACCGCGUGGGUGAAGAAGGCCUUCGGGUUGUAAAGCCCUUUUGUUGGGAAAGAAAAGCAGCAGGUUAAUACCCCGCUGUUCUGACGGUACCCAAAGAAUAAGCACCGGCUAACUUCGUG
This 492-nucleotide ribosomal RNA is filed under the name uncultured bacterium. RNAcentral's name for it is "partial 16S ribosomal RNA". It matches the Rfam family "Bacterial small subunit ribosomal RNA", at positions 29 to 507 of the family's 1533-position model. The record is from RNAcentral.